AGGACUGGACUCCCGGCGGC
This 20-nucleotide microRNA is filed under the name Pongo pygmaeus (Bornean orangutan). RNAcentral describes it as "ppy-miR-4515". Lineage: Eukaryota; Metazoa; Chordata; Mammalia; Primates; Hominidae. The record is from miRBase by way of RNAcentral.